Molecule: long non-coding RNA, 1500 nt
Organism: Athene cunicularia (burrowing owl)
Lineage: Eukaryota; Metazoa; Chordata; Aves; Strigiformes; Strigidae
Exons: 2
Source: RefSeq, a predicted model, not a curated record
AACCAGCGGCACAGCGCCCGCUUCUUCGACGUCCUGACGGCGCAGCUGGGCCUCGGCCCCGAGCGGAUUAUCAUCCGCUUCUACCCACUGGAGCCCUGGCAGAUCGGGAAGAACAGAACAGUCAUGACGUUCCUGUGAUCUCUUGAGCGGCCAGUUCGAACAAAGCAACGAUGAAGACAACCCAGAGAUGACCAGCUCCAUCUAUCUACUUGUUUCCUCUUAUGAUCAAAUCUGUGUAGCUCUACACAUUCACCUGUAUGAUUCACUUUCAUCUUUGCAUCCUUUGCACACAAAGCUGAAGAGUAGGGCAAUCAGCUAUACUGAUGUUACUGAAAUAGUUCAAGGUCUUUGUCUCAAGCCUGUCUCGUAGCCCAAAGGCUCUCCUGGUGUCCAUGGCAAAGCCAUUGCAGUCUGGUGAUGGCUAUACAUGGGCCUAGACAAAGCUGUCUUUUAGCAGCAAGAAGUUUAAUUCCAGAAUAGAUUUGGCUUUAUUGAGGACCAGAGAGGUUCUUGUGUUCAUUUAGAUUUCCUCAUACUUUGAAAGGCAGAAAGAUCCUUCUUUCUGUUUCUCUGUGGCAGCAGAAGGGCUCCAGGCUGGCUGAGAACACUUGGAAGUCAAAUUCUCUUUUCAGGCUCCCCAAAAGCCUCUUCUGCAAAGAGGUGAUUAUUGGAAUGGAAGUUUAUGCAUUUGUAUAAUUGUGUCUUGAAGGCUCAUGUCAGAUCUUGUGCUCUGUGCUAUACUGUUGCCACCCCUGGUAGCUGCUUCUACAAAGUGUCACUUGUCCACAGGAUUUUCAUGGAUGAAUGUUUGUGUUGUCACGGCAGCGUGUAGAGGAAGGAGUUUCUUGUGGAGAAUUGCACUGUGCUACAGGAAAAUAUUUUGAAGGUUCUACUGCCAGCUUUAAUUCUUGUUAUUCACCCAGUUCAAAAUACUUUUCCUCACCCUGCUGCUACAGGGAACGUUUUGGGAUGAUACAGCAUCUCACUGUGUUCUGUGGCUGGUGUUUUCAGCUCACUGUCCCUGUGGGGAAGUGAUUUGGGUUUUUAGGACCCAUGUGCUCCCUCCAUUUAUAACUGGAAUACACAUGGAAUUUUAUUUUUAAAAAAGAUAGUACUUUUUAUGUAUAAUGUUAUCUCUGCCUUCCACUGGUAAUGAAAACAUUCAUCAGUUUCCUUUCCACUUUGUGACUUGCUGAGGUCGCAGAUGGGGAGCUCAGAGGAACUGAGAGCAUGCCCUUGGAUAUGGAGAUCCAUGGGAACUCAAGGCUUCUGCGCUCCUUUGUCAUUCUGAUUGGAGUUUUAUUUAUGACUUGAGGUUUCAAGAUAGUUGAAAAUAUUCCUUCUAAUUACCAUUUGAAGUUGGUUGUUCCCUAUGCAGCAUAAACAUCUCUGUUUGCAAAAUCUGUCAGGACUGUAAUACCAAACACAAAUUUGUCUAUCAGGCUACAGGGGGGGGCUACACCUUAUCUGGUUAAUAAAAUGUAUCAAAGCCUCUUUUAA